UACGUAGGGUGCAAGCGUUAAUCGGAAUUACUGGGCGUAAAGCGUGCGCAGGCGGUUAUGCAAGACAGAUGUGAAAUCCCCGGGCUCAACCUGGGAACUGCAUUUGUGACUGCAUAGCUGGAGUGCGGCAGAGGGGGAUGGAAUUCCGCGUGUAGCAGUGAAAUGCGUAGAUAUGCGGAGGAACACCGAUGGCGAAGGCAAUCCCCUGGGCCUGCACUGACGCUGAUGCGCGAAAGCUAGGGGAGCAAACAGG
Molecule: ribosomal RNA, 253 nt
Filed under: uncultured bacterium
Lineage: Bacteria
Description: partial 16S ribosomal RNA
Rfam family: Bacterial small subunit ribosomal RNA
Source: RNAcentral